UUAUAGUUGCCGACCACAAGUUCACUCUCACUACUACACUCUAAUGGAUUACACUUCUAAUGGAGUCGCAAUCACAUCAACUGGGACUAAGAAAGGCGAAUUGCUCUUGGCUGAUGUAACACUCAGCUGAAGAACAAGAACAUCACAACUGAUGUGAAGGUCGACACUAAAUCGAAUCUUUUCUCCACUGUUACUGUUGAUGAACCUGAACCAGUAUUGAAGACCAUCUUUAGUUUUGUUGUUCCUGAUCAAACG
Molecule: long non-coding RNA, 255 nt
Organism: Hibiscus syriacus
Lineage: Eukaryota; Viridiplantae; Streptophyta; Magnoliopsida; Malvales; Malvaceae
Exons: 3
Source: RefSeq, a predicted model, not a curated record